RNAcentral lists this ribosomal RNA (1192 nucleotides) under metagenome. Its description in RNAcentral is "SSU rRNA". It matches the Rfam family "Eukaryotic small subunit ribosomal RNA", at positions 558 to 1801 of the family's 1831-position model. The record is from RNAcentral.
AGUCUGGUGCCAGCAGCCGCGGUAAUUCCAGCUCCAAUAGUGUAUAUUAAAGUUGUUGCAGUUAAAAAGCUCGUAGUUGAACUUCUGGCAGUGUGCAGUUAUGGCUUCGGUCAGACUGUUCGCUGUCAUCCGUCUGCAAACCUUGUUCGGCCUUUACUGGUACGGCAAGGGGAGUAGACAUUUUACUUUGAAAAAAUUAGAGUGUUUCAAGCAGGCUAUGGCCAGAAUACUUUAGCAUGGAAUAAUGGAAUAGGACUCUUGUCCAUUUGGUUGGUUAUUGGAUUAGAGUAAUGAUUAAUAGGGACAGUUGGGGGCAUUAGUAUUUAAUUGUCAGAGGUGAAAUUCAUGGAUUUAUUAAAGACUAACUUAUGCGAAAGCAUUUGCCAAGGAUGUUUUCAUUAAUCAAGAACGAAAGUUAGGGGAUCAAAGACGAUCAGAUACCGUCCUAGUCUUAACUAUAAACGAUGUCGACUCGGGAUUGGAAAGGUCAAUUUAUCCUUUCCAGCACCGUAUGAGAAAUCAUUAAGUCUUUGGAUUCUGGGGGGAGUAUGGUCGCAAGGCUGAAACUUAAAGGAAUUGACGGAAGAGCACCACCAGGCGUGGGACCUGCGGCUUAAUUUGACCCAACACGGGAAAACUUAUUUCGGCAAAACAUGAGUGGGAUUGACAGAUUGAGAGCUCUUUCUUGAUUUUAUGGGGUGUGGUGCAUGGCCGUUCUUAGUUUGUGGAGUGAUUUGUCUGGUUAAUUCCGUUAACGAACGAGACCUUAACCUGCUAACUAGUCUCCUCGUCACCAACGGGGGGUACUUCUUAGAGGGACUAUGGUUCGAUAAGACCAUGGAAGUUUGACGCAAUAACAGGUCUGUGAUGCCCAUAGAUGUCGAAAGCGGCACGCGCGUCAUACUGUCCUGUAACAGCAAGUUACUUCCUCUCCCGGAAGAGAAGGGGUAAUCUAUAAAACAGGACGUGGUAGGGAUAGAUCUUUGGAAUUAUAGAUCUUGAACGAAGAAUGCCUAGUAAGUGCAAGUCAUCAACUUGUGCUGAUUACGUCCCUGUCCUUUGUACACACCGCCCGUCGCUCCUACCGAUUGAGCGAUAUGGUGAACCUCCUGGACCGUGAGAUUCCUCGUGGAUCUUGUGGAAAGUUUAGUAAGCCUUAUCGCUUAGAGGAAGGAGAAGUCGUAACAAGGUA